GCGGGUUUAGCUCAGUUGGGAGAGCGUCAGACUGAAGUACCACGUCAUUCAAUCGAUAUUAUACAAUUGAUAUCUGAAGGUCAUGUGUUCGAUCCACAUAAACCGCA
This is a non-coding RNA of Podospora aff. communis PSN243, 107 nucleotides long. The record is from the annotation of a GenBank genome assembly. NCBI's taxonomy places the organism in Eukaryota, Fungi, Ascomycota, Sordariomycetes, Sordariales, Podosporaceae.